AUUGGAGAAAUGGCUGGUAGUUU
Molecule: non-coding RNA, 23 nt
Filed under: Cricetulus griseus (Chinese hamster)
Lineage: Eukaryota; Metazoa; Chordata; Mammalia; Rodentia; Cricetidae
Source: RNAcentral